This is an RNA transcript of Bicyclus anynana (squinting bush brown), 1061 nucleotides long. It is a transcript of the gene named RNA-binding protein 1, with no coding region annotated. The record is from RefSeq and is a predicted model, not a curated record. Lineage: Eukaryota; Metazoa; Arthropoda; Insecta; Lepidoptera; Nymphalidae. The transcript is spliced from 5 exons.
UCACAAUCACAAUUUCAAUUUCAAAUUUCAUUCAGGUUCAUUCUCUUAUGCUUUGAGGUUGUAGUUUUUGUAUUUUGAUAGUGCGAUUUUUAAAAAAAGUGUGAAAUAGUUAUAAUUUUAUUGUUUGAAAAGCUUUUUAGUGAUAUUUAUUAUAAGCCCAAGAUGUCUCGAUAUCGUGAAUGGGACCUCUCUUGCAAGGUUUACGUGGGUAACCUAGGUACAAAUGCUUCAAAAUAUGAAAUUGAAAAAGUAUUUUCUAAAUAUGGUACCAUCAGGAACGUGUGGGUAGCGAGAAAUCCUCCUGGAUUUGCGUUUGUGGAAUUUGAAGAUCCACGAGACGCUGAAGACGCCGUCCGAGGUUUAGACGGCACACGUUGCUGUGGGACCAGGAUUCGUGUAGAAAUGUCCAGUGGUAGAACGAGAAGAGACCGCAGGUCCAUUUUAUCAACCGACCACCAACACACCGACCUCACCACAUCUCUUCACCACUGCGGCUUCUUUACCGAUAAGACAUCUGCGAUCGCCGCUCGCAACUACACCCCGCCUGGCGAUCGACUCACCAAUCUACAACGCGCAACUGAAGCCUUCGCCAACAGCGUCCCCACAAUCCUCCUAACAGCUAUCACCUAAUCCUGAGCCCCGACAAGCUGGACCCGUUCGUAUCGAGUGCCACAGUAGGAACCUACGUCCUGAAUGUCAUUGCAAACUCCUGAAGCUUCGCGACUGCACACUUGCGUCGUCAACGAGACACCGGGCGCUCCACUCUUGGCGACCGCAAUCCGCUCUCGAAACUCCCGGUUAAAGUCACCAUUUGAAGAUCACAUUGAAACUUGCUCCGCCUCGGUAUACAAACCCCCUUCGGCCUCACAGCAGCCUCACAACGAACGGCGACCAACAAGGCUCACCAAGUCUCGAACGCGAAGCCGUAGUCCCCGCCGGCGAUCUUAUUCGCGCGGUCGAUCAGUUUCGCCACGGCGUUCGCCGUCGGUUCGCCGCCGUUCGCCCUCCGUUCGCCGGUCACGUUCGCGCGACCGUCGCAGCCGAUCCGAUAGCAAGAACAG